ACGUAGGUGGCAAGCGUUGUCCGGAUUUAUUGGGCGUAAAGCGAGCGCAGGCGGAAUGAUAAGUCUGAUGUGAAAGCCCACGGCUCAACCGUGGAACUGCAUCGGAAACUGUCAUUCUUGAGUGCAGAAGAGGAGAGUGGAACUCCAUGUGUAGCGGUGGAAUGCGUAGAUAUAUGGAAGAACACCAGUGGCGAAAGCGGCUCUCUGGUCUGUAACUGACGCUGAGGUUCGAAAGUGUGGGUAGCAAACAGGAUUAGAUACCCUGGUAGUCCACACCGUAAACGAUGAAUGCUAAGUGUUGGAGGGUUUCCGCCCUUCAGUGCUGCAGCUAACGCAAUAAGCAUUCCGCCUGGGGAGUACGACCGCAAGGUUG
RNAcentral lists this ribosomal RNA (373 nucleotides) under uncultured bacterium. RNAcentral's name for it is "bacterial SSU rRNA". It matches the Rfam family "Bacterial small subunit ribosomal RNA", at positions 525 to 896 of the family's 1533-position model. The record is from RNAcentral.